This 612-nucleotide ribosomal RNA is filed under the name uncultured bacterium. Its description in RNAcentral is "bacterial SSU rRNA". It matches the Rfam family "Bacterial small subunit ribosomal RNA", at positions 338 to 951 of the family's 1533-position model. The record is from RNAcentral.
CCUACGGGAGGCAGCAGUAAGGAAUAUUGGUCAAUGGAGGCAACUCUGAACCAGCCAUGCCGCGUGCAGGAUGACGGCCCUAUGGGUUGUAAACUGCUUUUAUACAAGAGAAAACCCUGGUACGUGUACCAGGUUGAUAGUAUUGUAAGAAUAAGCAUCGGCUAACUUCGUGCCAGCAGCCGCGGUAAGACGAAGGAUGCAAGCGUUAUCCGGAUUCAUUGGGUUUAAAGGGUGCGUAGGCGGACUGAUAAGUCAGUGGUGAAAUCUCUUUGCUUAACAAAGAAACUGCCAUUGAUACUGUCGGUCUAGAGUGUAGAUGACGUUGGCGGAAUAUGACAUGUAGUGGUGAAAUACUUAGAUAUGUCAUAGAACACCGAUUGCGAAGGCAGCUAACGAAACUAUAACUGACGCUGAGGCACGAAAGUGCGGGGAUCAAACAGGAUUAGAUACCCUGGUAGUCCGCACCGUAAACGAUGAUUACUCGUUGUUGGCGAUAUGACAGUCAGCGACCAAGCGAAAGCGAUAAGAAUCCACCUGGGGAGUACGCCGGCAACGGUGAAACUCAAAGGAAUUGACGGCGNGAGAGNGCGAGGACGACGACGAGGGAGGAGG